GAUGAACGCUGGCGGCGUGCCUAAUACAUGCAAGUAGAACGCUGAAGGAGGAGCUUGCUCUUCUGGAUGAGUUGCGAACGGGUGAGUAACGCGUAGGUAACCUGCCUGGUAGCGGGGGAUAACUAUUGGAAACGAUAGCUAAUACCGCAUGACAACAGUUAUUGCAUGAUAACUGUUUAAAAGGGGCAACUGCUCCACUACCAGAUGGACCUGCGAUGUAUUAGCUAGUUGGUGAGGUAACGGCUCACCAAGGCGACGAUACAUAGCCGACCUGAGAGGGUGAUCGGCCACACUGGGACUGAGACACGGCCCAGACUCCUACGGGAGGCAGCAGUAGGGAAUCUUCGGCAAUGGACGGAAGUCUGACCGAGCAACGCCGCGUGAGUGAAGAAGGUUUUCGGAUCGUAAAGCUCUGUUGUAAGAGAAGAACGAGUGUGAGAGUGGAAAGUUCACACUGUGACGGUAUCUUACCAGAAAGGGACGGCUAACUACGUG
This 495-nucleotide ribosomal RNA is filed under the name uncultured bacterium. Its description in RNAcentral is "partial 16S ribosomal RNA". It matches the Rfam family "Bacterial small subunit ribosomal RNA", at positions 28 to 507 of the family's 1533-position model. The record is from RNAcentral.